UCAGCUGUUUGGCCAAAUAUAUAUACGCGCAUUGGCGGAGAGAUUUUAGUAAUACAGGGACAAUUAUAUCACUGAGAAUAGGUUGAGGGACUAACUGAACCAUUGAGCAUGCGCUGCGCUUGGUUUAAUGUAGCAGCCAAAAAACAACGAGGAAGGACGAAAGAAUGCUGUUCGAAUGAAGUGAAAAAAGAGGGUGGAAAGAAUAGAAGUUGUAUUGAACAAUGUCUGUCCAUCUUGUGCUGCUGCUGGCUUUUUGAUGUUUGCUUUGGUUUCAGCAGAGAUUAAGAAACAACAAGAUGGUACCUGCAGAUCUGUUUCCAGUACACUAUUCUUCAACUUCUACUCAAUUUCACUAGCGAUGAACCGUAUCAGUUAUGUAGUGUAGAAGCAGUUGUUCAUCAUGUAUGCUCUACAAUAAUAAAAAUUGUAUGCUUCUUUGCAGAACCAAAUAAUUGUAUGCCUUUUAUCAGAAAAAAAGAACUGAAUUAGGUUAGGACACAUCAUGAAAACACAGUUCAAAGCAAACAAAUUCUCUUGCCUUGGCGAAAAAGCACAGA
Long non-coding RNA from Pistacia vera, 557 nucleotides. RefSeq lists it as uncharacterized. The transcript has 3 exons. The record is from RefSeq and is a predicted model, not a curated record. Lineage: Eukaryota; Viridiplantae; Streptophyta; Magnoliopsida; Sapindales; Anacardiaceae.